GAUGACGCUAGCGAUAGGCUUAACACAUGCAAGUCGAGGGGCAGCGGGUUGGUAGCUUGCUACCGAUGCCGGCGACCGGCGGAAGGGUGCGUAACGCGUGUGCAACUUACCUGUCAGAGUGGGAUAACCCGGAGAAAUUCGGACUAAUACCGCAUAUACUUUCUAAACUGCAUGGAAUAGAGAGGAAAGGAUUUAUUGCUGACAGAUAGGCACGCGUCCCAUUAGUUAGUUGGAGAGGUAACGGCUCACCAAGGCAGCGAUGGGUAGGGGAGCUGAGAGGCAUAACCCCCACAUUGGAACUGAGACACGGUCCAAACUCCUACGGGAGGCAGCAGUGAGGAAUAUUGGUCAAUGGGCGAGAGCCUGAACCAGCCAAGUCGCGUGAAGGAAGACGGUCCUAAGGAUUGUAAACUUCUUUAGUAGGGGAGUAGAGGCAGCUACGCGUAGCUGUAGGCAAGUACCCUAAGAAUAAGUAUCGGCUAACUCCGUGCCAGCAGCCGCGGUAAUACGGAGGAUACGAGCGUUAUCCGGAUUUAUUGGGUUUAAAGGGUGCGCAGGUGGUCGAGAAAGUCAGUGGUGAAAGGUCCGGGCUCAACCCGGGAAUUGCCGUUGAAACUGUUUGACUUGAGUGUAGAUGAUGUAGGCGGAAUGCGUAGUGUAGCGGUGAAAUGCAUAGAUAUUACGCAGAACUCCGAUUGCGAAGGCAGCUUACAAAGUUACAACUGACACUGAGGCACGAAAGCGUGGGGAUCAAACAGGAUUAGGUACCCUGGUAGUCCACGCUGUAAACGAUGAUUACUCAGAGUAUGCGAUAGAGGGUAUGCUCUCAAGCGAAAGCGAUAAGUAAUCCACCUGGGGAGUACGCCGGCAACGGUGAAACUCAAAGGAAUUGACGGGGGCCCGCACAAGCGGAGGAACAUGUGGUUUAAUUCGAUGAUACGCGAGGAACCUUACCCGGGAUUGAAAUGUGCAUGAAGGUGCGAGAGAUUGCACCGACCCUUCGGGGCAUGUAUGUAGGUGCUGCAUGGUUGUCGUCAGCUCGUGCCGUGAGGUGUCGGCUUAAGUGCCAUAACGAGCGCAACCCACGUCUCCAGUUACUAACAGGUGAUGCUGAGGACUCUGGAGAGACUGCCGUCGUAAGGCGCGAGGAAGGUGUGGAUGACGUCAAAUCAGCACGGCCCUUACAUCCGGGGCGACACACGUGUUACAAUGGUGAGGACAAAGGGCAGCUACCGGGCGACCGGAUGCGAAUCUCCAAACCUCAUCUCAGUUCGGAUCGGAGUCUGCAACUCGACUCUGUGAAGCUGGAUUCGCUAGUAAUCGCGCAUCAGCCAUGGCGCGGUGAAUACGUUCCCGGGCCUUGUACACACCACCCGUCAAGCCAUGGAAGUCGGGGGUACCUGAAGUGCGUGACCGAAAGGAGCGCACCAGGGUAAGACCGGUGACUGGGCUAAGUC
Molecule: ribosomal RNA, 1457 nt
Filed under: uncultured Porphyromonadaceae bacterium
Lineage: Bacteria; Pseudomonadati; Bacteroidota; Bacteroidia; Bacteroidales; Porphyromonadaceae
Description: bacterial SSU rRNA
Rfam family: Bacterial small subunit ribosomal RNA
Source: RNAcentral